ACUUAAAUUGAAGAGUUUGAUCAUGGCUCAGAUUGAACGCUGGCGGCAGGCCUAACACAUGCAAGUCGAGCGGUAGCACAGAGAGCUUGCUCUCGGGUGACGAGCGGCGGACGGGUGAGUAAUGUCUGGGAAACUGCCUGAUGGAGGGGGAUAACUACUGGAAACGGUAGCUAAUACCGCAUAACGUCGCAAGACCAAAGUGGGGGACCUUCGGGCCUCAUGCCAUCAGAUGUGCCCAGAUGGGAUUAGCUAGUAGGUGGGGUAACGGCUCACCUAGGCGACGAUCCCUAGCUGGUCUGAGAGGAUGACCAGCCACACUGGAACUGAGACACGGUCCAGACUCCUACGGGAGGCAGCAGUGGGGAAUAUUGCACAAUGGGCGCAAGCCUGAUGCAGCCAUGCCGCGUGUGUGAAGAAGGCCUUCGGGUUGUAAAGCACUUUCAGCGGGGAGGAAGGCGUUAAGGUUAAUAACCUCAUCGAUUGACGUUACCCGCAGAAGAAGCACCGGCUAACUCCGUGCCAGCAGCCGCGGUAAUACGGAGGGUGCAAGCGUUAAUCGGAAUUACUGGGCGUAAAGCGCACGCAGGCGGUCUGUCAAGUCGGAUGUGAAAUCCCCGGGCUCAACCUGGGAACUGCAUUCGAAACUGGCAGGCUAGAGUCUUGUAGAGGGGGGUAGAAUUCCAGGUGUAGCGGUGAAAUGCGUAGAGAUCUGGAGGAAUACCGGUGGCGAAGGCGGCCCCCUGGACAAAGACUGACGCUCAGGUGCGAAAGCGUGGGGAGCAAACAGGAUUAGAUACCCUGGUAGUCCACGCCGUAAACGAUGUCGAUUUGGAGGUUGUGCCCUUGAGGCGUGGCUUCCGGAGCUAACGCGUUAAAUCGACCGCCUGGGGAGUACGGCCGCAAGGUUAAAACUCAAAUGAAUUGACGGGGGCCCGCACAAGCGGUGGAGCAUGUGGUUUAAUUCGAUGCAACGCGAAGAACCUUACCUGGUCUUGACAUCCACAGAACUUAGCAGAGAUGCUUUGGUGCCUUCGGGAACUGUGAGACAGGUGCUGCAUGGCUGUCGUCAGCUCGUGUUGUGAAAUGUUGGGUUAAGUCCCGCAACGAGCGCAACCCUUAUCCUUUGUUGCCAGCGGUCCGGCCGGGAACUCAAAGGAGACUGCCAGUGAUAAACUGGAGGAAGGUGGGGAUGACGUCAAGUCAUCAUGGCCCUUACGACCAGGGCUACACACGUGCUACAAUGGCAUAUACAAAGAGAAGCGACCUCGCGAGAGCAAGCGGACCUCAUAAAGUAUGUCGUAGUCCGGAUUGGAGUCUGCAACUCGACUCCAUGAAGUCGGAAUCGCUAGUAAUCGUAGAUCAGAAUGCUACGGUGAAUACGUUCCCGGGCCUUGUACACACCGCCCGUCACACCAUGGGAGUGGGUUGCAAAAGAAGUAGGUAGCUUAACCUUCGGGAGGGCGCUUACCACUUUGUGAUUCAUGACUGGGGUGAAGUCGUAACAAGGUAACCGUAGGGGAACCUGCGGUUGGAUCACCUCCUUACCUUAAAGAA
This 1554-nucleotide ribosomal RNA is filed under the name Klebsiella pneumoniae. RNAcentral's name for it is "bacterial SSU rRNA". It matches the Rfam family "Bacterial small subunit ribosomal RNA". Lineage: Bacteria; Pseudomonadati; Pseudomonadota; Gammaproteobacteria; Enterobacterales; Enterobacteriaceae. The record is from RNAcentral. RNAcentral also lists the same sequence under 5 other names.